CGGAUUUACAUAAUUUGAAUAACGAAGAAAUUAAUGAGACGAGUCGGUGCUGACACGAAGCACCAGGAUUUAAAAGGGGCUGAUUUAGCGAGCUGAAUGUACGGAAGCCAUUUUUAAGGAUUAGGAUAGAAAUAGCAUUUGUCACAUGCCCUCGGCUGAUCUCUUUAGUCACAAUCACUUACAAGAGAGUAGAACGAAUCAUUGUAUGCAUUGACAAAAAGCCCCAGCGGCUUAUGAGCCAGCGAGUGCCCGACUUGUUGUUGAAAUGAAAUUUAUUCUAGCUGCUUUUCCUUUCGCUUUCUGGUACCUUAACAUCAUAUGUCAAAGGCAAAAACGAGCUUAUUGUUAGAAAGGAAACAUUAUUUUGGCAGAAGUUGAGUGCUGGACUUUGAUAUGGUGGGAUAGCAACAAAAUGUAGAUAAGGACGAUCCGUCCGUUCAGUUCAUGCAUUAAACGACGACUGGUACCUACUCUAAAAUCGGACUAAAUCGCUAUAUUUUCCGUUGUCUAGCCCAAUAAUAGACAGCGUAAUUUUUAAAAUGUGUUUUCAUUGAUCGUCAGCUGAAGCUAUCAUUAAGACUUCACUCACUGAAAUGCUGUCCAUUAAUAUGAUCACGGAUGUCUAUUUAUGAUACAGGAACGCCUUUCCCUGUUGCUUCAACUGAAGAACUAGAUGUAAAUAGGUCUACGAUCUAAGAAACGAAUAUUCGAAGCUUGCGACUAUUUCGUGAUAGUUUAUUUCACUCGGUGAAUUCAAGGAAACAGCAAAUAGUGAUGGGAAUCUGCUUGUUGUGAUAGGAGAAUCGCAGUGAUACGAACGGCGCAUAGUUGGUAUUAUCGGCUCUGCGCUUUUGUUGGGUGCAUCAGAACGGCACCGUCCGCAUCGGGUAGACAUCGAGAAAAACGACCUAAGCCGAAAACAACUGUCAACUGGUGGUCAAUGGUAGCAUGUGUCGGUCUGCGCGAAUUGCUUUAGACGGUUGGCUUCGAACAUAAAGCAAAAGGCAAAACCAUUCGCGACAGAGGCGAGCAAGGUUCUUGAACGGUUGGCCAUAACACCACGAUGAUGGAUGAAAACACUCCUGGCACUC
Molecule: long non-coding RNA, 1091 nt
Organism: Varroa destructor (honeybee mite)
Lineage: Eukaryota; Metazoa; Arthropoda; Arachnida; Mesostigmata; Varroidae
Source: RefSeq, a predicted model, not a curated record